Non-coding RNA from Aedes aegypti (yellow fever mosquito), 47 nucleotides. NCBI's taxonomy places the organism in Eukaryota, Metazoa, Arthropoda, Insecta, Diptera, Culicidae. The record is from Rfam.
CAAUCGGCCCUUUUCAGGGCCAAUAGAUAUGUACUAAAGAGUUAGUU